Molecule: ribosomal RNA, 253 nt
Filed under: uncultured bacterium
Lineage: Bacteria
Description: partial 16S ribosomal RNA
Rfam family: Bacterial small subunit ribosomal RNA
Source: RNAcentral
UACGAAGGGUGCAAGCGUUACUCGGAAUUACUGGGCGUAAAGCGUGCGUAGGUGGUUUGUUAGGUCUGCUGUGAAAGCCCCGGGCUCAACCUGGGAACUGCAUCGGAAACUAGCGGGCUGGAGUGUGGCAGAGGGGGGUGGAAUUCCACGUGUAGCAGUGAAAUGCGUAGAGAUGUGGAGGAACACCGAUGGCGAAGGCAGCCAUCUGGACCGACACUGACGCUGAGGCGCGAAAGCGUGGGGAGCAAACAGG